UGGCACUGGCACAUUUGAUAUAUGGUUGGAUGUAAAUUUAUAACGAGCUAGGCAAAUUAAUUUUAUCAAUUUUUAAUUCUUAAAAUAUUUUGGAGAUGACUUAUUAUAUAUAAAGUAUUAUGAUUAAUCCAUCCUACGUACGUACAACGGUGUGGAAGAGCUCUUAAUUAGUUAAACAAAUUUUAAAAUUAUAAUUCAUAAAUAAGUAUAGUCAUUUCACGUCUAUAGUCUAAAUUCUACACCAUGCAUCACCGGUGGUCCAUGACUGACUAAGUAUUUUUUAUUCAGUUAUAUAUAGUGACUGAAUUUUACAUAUUUUUAUGUCAAACUUAUGAAAUGAUUGAAUCAACUACGAUUAAACUAGUGAUUUGCUUUCAUACAUCCCAAAGUAAAGCACGUUCACUAGGAAUCUUCCACAUCUCUAGGAAAUAAUUGAGUUUGAAGUGGGUUAAUUGUUGUUUUGACCGUUAUACUGGGGUUAAAUUUUUAUUUUGAUUACUGAUUUUUUUUUGUUAUAAAAAUAUUAUCACACUCAAAAAAAUAUUACAAAUUAAACAUUAUUUAGUAAGGAUCCACUUACGACAUAUUUAAAUACACCACAUAAUAGUGGCUAAACAUUAAUAUAGUCAGUAUUUUUGUUAAAUUUUGGACGGAAUGUUAAGUAAUGAUUAGUUUAUAAUUUUUUUGAGUAUAAUAAUAUCUUUGUACUAAAAAAAAUAUUUAAUAAUCAAAAUAAAAAUUGUUCUUUGAUAUAGUAAUCAAAAUAUCAAUUAAACCGAUUGAAAGUGCAUGAAAAAAUUAAAAAAUUAUAAGGAUAUUUUCGUAUUCGGUAUUUCACUCAAAGUCGUAUAUACAUUAAAAUAGAAAAACUAAUGUCUUUAAAAUAUGUGUGGGUGGUUGUUGGCUUUGACUACUUUCCAACUUUGUCUUUUAGGUCGUGUGAAAGGGUUGAACUUCUGCCAAAUGAAUGUAUUUUCAAUCAUAAAAAGUUGUUAGUAUGUCCCAUCACAUCAUGCAACUUAAAACCAAAUAAAAAAGUUUUUGUGCAUAUAUCCUACUAAUUAAAAUGAGAGUUAUGAAAUAAUGUAAGGUUGUAAUUAAUUUCAAUAUAUAUAUUUAUGUAUAAUAAAUAAAUAGGCUUCAAAUUUACUAGUUGGAAAAAAAAUAAAAAAUUGGUCAAUUUAAUUAUUAACUUUAUAAGAGUGCAAUUAAUUUCAAUAUAUAAAUUUUGAAAUGCACUUCUAUAUACGUACGUACGCGUAUAUGCAGACGCACAGAUGAUAUUAACAAGUAUAUAUAAUUUUGUGUGGAACACAGAUAGGAUUGUAUGGGUAUCAAUUGCAAUACUGGUGGGGUUAUUCAUGUUUCAAAGAUUUGGAACCGACAAAGUUGGCUAUACCUUCGCUCCCAUCAUUUGUGUUUGUUUCGUGUUCGGGAGCGUUUUACCGACCCUCUUUUGGGUCGAAGGCUUAGUAUCAGAAGGGCUGGAGAGAUCGGGGGACCGAAGCCUAUGAAGAUAUUGAAGGUGCUUGGGUCGGCAUCUGAGCCCUCCUGGACCGGAGCUGAACCCGGUCUUGUGAUGUUUGGGGUCGGGUCUUCGAGUUCUUUGGGCCGAAGCCUAGACUAGAUUAUAGGACCGUUUGGGCCUGCAUAGUGGGCUCUCCCGCGUGCAGAGUCCGGGUACCUAUUCAUAUGCAUAUAAGGUAACUCCAAAGGUGGUGAUGAGAUUGGACUCUACUUGCACCUUUUAAGGAGAUUGUGUUAGACCCAAGUUAUGGUAACUACCAUACACUAGGAGUCCUAAUCCGACUGGGAGAAGGAUUCUAAGGUGGUGAGUACUAUAAAUAUAAGGCCUAGGUUAUCAUUAUGAGGUAAUACCUACUUUUGAGCACUAAAUACUAAUCCUCCAUUGUUAAACCUUGUAACGACCUGUACUCAUUCUCACACCGGAGCUAUCCCCUGGCGGCACAAGCCGUCAAGCUUCUGUGUGAUCUGUUACUGUGCAGGUUCUAGCGCGUGGAUUCUGUGAUUGGACGCGCCGGCAAAACGUGGCGUUAACAUUGGCGCUAGAAGGAGGGCAGUGCUUAAAUAACAAUCACAAUCGAAUUCUUUUCCGGCAAGAAACUAUGGCGAGUGUGGAGUAUGCAGUUUUCGACCGUGAAAAGGCCAAAACACACCAGACCACUCAGGUGAGAGGGUCGGUGAAAGACAGACUGGGAUCCAGAAUCCAGGACGAUCAGAUGGAGCCGGCUGGCUCCCCCCGACGAAGGCUCUUCCAUGAAAGCCAGUGUACCCGCAACCAGGCCAGUCGGAUGGACGAAGCCAAUUCACGAGCGCUGGAGGCGCGUGAAAAGAGUCGUAGCCAGGGUAGUCGAGAUCAGAGAGAAUUCAUCCUGCAGAAAAAGAUGCAGCAAAACAAAGAUGCCAUGAUGACCCUACGUCUUCAGCAGGAGGAGCUCGAACUGCAGAUGGCCAACGUGCUCGGAGAGCAAGAGGCAUCCUCUAAGAGGCGUAGGCACCAUAGCCGAUCUCGGUCACCACGAAGGGAAGGGGCUGAUAGGGAGAAAAGUAAAUACCGAAGUCGUUCGAGGGAUGGCCGAAGCCGGAGGAGGAGUCGAUCAGCAGGACGACGUUCUGAGCACCCGGGUCGGUCUGGGCAGAGGAGGGGAGACAAGAUUCCCGAAUGUGAGAGGGACAGACCACAAUCGUCCCCUCAUGCAGGAGAGUCUGACCCCCUCGCUCGAAGGGUAGCUGAAUUGGAGAAGCUGCUGUUGGUCAAGAGCCCGAUCGGAACGCCCUCGACCUAUAUAGGGUCGCCCUUCUCGCCGGAAAUUAAUCAGGAGAUAGCGGACCCCAAAAGGAAGAUGCCCCCGAUGGAGACUUAUGACGGGCUGGGGGAUCCUUACGAUCAUUCUGAUGGGUAUGACAGGUUGAUGACGUAUUAUGGCCACUCUGAUGCAGCCAAGUGCCACAUGUUCGCUACUACCUUGAAGAAGAGCGCCCGGGAAUGGAUGGGAACCUUGGCGUCGGGAUCGAUAUCUUCAUGGAAUGACCUUCGGGAAAAGUUUCAUGCACGGUUCGGGAGUAAUAAGUGACGGGGGAAGAUCACAACAUCCCUCAUGCAGGUCAGACAGAGAUCAGAUGAGAGCCUGGGGCAGUAUGUUAACAGAUUUCGGGAGGCUGUGGGGUCGGUGACGGAGCUAAAUUCCCCACAAGCCUUGGGAUUCUUCACAACGGGGCUAGACAUCGAAAAAUCAAAGAAGCUGAUGAAGGACCUGGUAAUCAACCCCCCGGCCGACCUGACAGAAGCCUUCCACAGGGCCGAGGGUCACAUAGCGAUCGAGGAAGCGAUGGGGAAUUUCAAACCACAAUCCCAAUCCUAUGAGAAGUCUAGAGAUCGGGACAAAUAGAGCUAUCAGAAGUCUGACAAUCAGGGGAGGUCGGAUAGCUACAAGAAGAACUACAACGGGGGGGGGGGGGUGGAAGGCCACCCUUCCCAAACAAAAGUGUCAACAAGGUGUACACCGCACUCAAUACAGAUCGGGCCAAGAUACUGGAGGAGAUGCGAAGCAAGCCCUUUUUCGAACCAUAUCAAACGAUCCCGAAGCCAGGGAAGAGGGGUCGGAACAAGUAUUGUGCGUAUCACCAGAGUCGGGGUUACACGACAGAAGAUUGCACUAACUUGAAAGAUUUAAUAGAAAAGAAUGUUCAGAACGGGCAGUUAGUACAGUACGUAGUUGGUAGAGAAGGGUCGGAAGCCCCAAGAGAGGAGAACAGGGAACUCCCCCGAGAAGCACAGCCGCAACCAAACCCACAAGCCCGAGGAGUUAUUGAUGUGAUAUCGGGCGGGUCGGUAGGGCGUGUAACUGGCAAGAAGAGGAGUGGACAUCUCGAAGCCGUACUGUCACUAGCUGGCUCCUCGCCCAGAAAGGACAGGCCAUAUUCAGGCACGACCAUCUCCUUCUCAGACGAUGACUACCCUACAGAAUAGAUCGAACCGCAUGACGGGGCACUGGUGAUAACGGCUCAGGUCGGGCCAGUGGACAUGAAGAGAAUGAUGAUCGACAACGGGUCUUCGGUCGACAUACUCUACACACAUGCAUACCAACGGAUGGAUUUGGGAGGAAAGAAGAUGGAAUUGGGAGGCGAGGGCCCGCUGUACGGCUUCAGCGGCGAUCCGGUUCAUGUGUCGGGCACGGUAGAACUGCCAGUCAGAUUUGGGACGCCUCCUCAGCAGACGAAAAUCAUGGUAAAAUUUUUUGUCGUGCAAGUGGAUUUGGCCUACAACGCCAUCUUGGGAAGGCCCACAUUAGCAGCGCUGCAUGCAGUAAUAUAUAUACCCCACUUCAAAGUCAAGUUUCCGACACCAAACGGGAUAGGGGAGGUAAAAGGGGAUCUGGAUAUCGCCCGAAGGUGUUAUCGAAAUACCUUAAUUUCCUCAAGGGUUGGGGUUAGUAAGCAGAAACAGACGUUGUCCAUCGAGAUAGAGCCGUUCACUGAGGGAAGUACGGAACCCAUGGCUCUACCAGCAGAAGAAACAGAAGAUGUUGAGCUGGUACCGGUGAACCCAGACAAACUGGUCAAAAUCGGGGCGGGAUUAUCCGAACAGCUGCGAACGGGUUUGGUGGAGUUACUUCGGGUGUAUGCCGACAUCUUCGCUUGGGAACCUAGCGACAUGCCCGGAGUAAGCGAAUCAAUAGCAUUACAUAGGCUUCAUACCGACCUAAAGAGGAAGCCAGUGAUACAGAAAAGAAGGAUCUUUGCCCCGAAAAGACAGAAGAUUAUUGACGACGAGGUUACUAAAUUGUUAGAGGCAGGGUUCAUCUUCGAAAUCGACUAUCCCGAAUGGCUGGCGAAUGUAGUAUUGGUUCAGAGAAAAAUGGGAAGUGGAGGAUGUGCAUUGACUACACGGACCUGAAUAAGACAUGCCCCAAAAACUUCUACCCCUUGCCCAACAUAGACCAGCUGAUUGAUGCCACUUCGGGGUAUGGGAUGCUAAGUUUCAUGGACGCUUUCUCGGGAUAUCACCAAAUCUCGAUGCACAAGGAAGAUAUCCCGAAGACUAGCUUCAUCACUCAUCGGGCUAUAUACGCGUAUCGGAAGAUGACCUUCGGACUGCUAAACGCAGGAGCAACCUACGUUUGAAGACUAGCUUCAUCACUCAUCGGUCUAAGUUUGAAGGUUUUUUGAAAGAGUUAAGGAUCCAGCAUCGUAAGACUUCGGUUGCCCAUCCUCAGUCAAACGGCCAAGUGGAAGUGACCAAUCGAACCCUACUCAAUGAGAUUAAACGCAGAUUAGAUGAAUUAAAGGGUCGGUGGCCCGAAGAACUGCUAUCUGUUUUGUGGGCGUAUCGAACUACCCCAAGGACUACAACUGGAGACUCCCCAUUCAGGUUGGCAUACGGGACCGAUGCACUCAUUCCUGUUGAGAUCGGAUCUCCAACUCUUCGAGUCAGCCAAUACAAAGAGCUAUAUAAUGAUGAGGGUUUGAGAACGAAUUUAGAUUUGUUGGAUGAAGUUCGGGAUUCAACAAUGAUGAGAUUGGCCAUCUAUCAGCAGCGAACAACCCGACACUAUAAUCAGAAGGUGAAGACAAGGAGGUUUGCAAUAGGAGGAUACGGUCCCAUAGGAGAUUUGGUCAUCCGGGAGUCGGAAGCAUCAACCCCCCAGAACACUGGCAAGCUAAUGCCCAACUGGGAGGGGCCUUAUGAGUUGGUAGGAGUGCCGAAGCCAGGAACCUACCGGCUUCAAGCAAUGGACGGUUCGGAGGUAAAGAAUACAUGGCAUGCUGGAAGACUUAGAAAAUUUUACCAGUAAUAGUUAUGUCGUUCUUGUUUUUAUCCAUGUAAUCGUUUCAACUCAAAUGAUAUAAAUGAAAGACCCUAUUUCUGUCAGUGUUUAACUUCAUCUAUAUUCAUAUAUUUCGUUACUACUUGAACAGACACGCUUCGGGCACUAUCCGAUCAAGAGGUUCGGAAAAACACCACUGAUCGAGAUAAGUCCCGAGCAUAACUGACCGAGAGUUCAAUAAAUUCUUAAAAUACAGAUCUCGGGCACUAUCCGAUCAAAAGGUUCGGAAAGACACCACUGAUCGAGAUAAGUCUCGGGUAUAACUGUUGACCCUUCAAAAUCAGAUAAACUCUAAGGACGAUCCAAUCAGAAGGUUCGGGUGGACAUAACUGAUCAAGAUUAGUCAUAAGUAAAACUGAAAAUAAACAUUCAUGGGCAAAAAAUAUAUAUCUCAUUCAUACUUAGAAAAUUUUUACUUUACAAACCCGGUCGCUUACGAUUCGGGCCAAGUACAAAAAGGGAAAUUUUCUUUAUUAUAAAUCUUACAUAUCUACUCGGCAGGGGGGUCAUCUUCAGCGUCAGACUCGUCAUCCGAAGAGUCAAGGAUGGAGACAUCGAGCCCAACAGCCAUCAGCUUUGCUUUAGCCUUUUCCCGAUGAGUCUCAUACCCCUCACCAAAUUGGGCUAUGACCUUAUCGUUCAAGGCUUCGGAUUCUUCGUAUUCGGCGAUGGCUUGCUGUCUGGCUUCGAUUAUCUUCUCGGGAAAUGCAUUGACGGUAGCAGUCAAAGUGUUGUUCUCCUUGAUCAAGAAAAUCAUCUUAUCAUGCAUCUCGGAGAACUUGAGCGUAAUACUGUCAACAGCAUCUUCCCGAUCCUUGACCUCUUGGAGCAGAUGAUCCCUCUCUACCAGAAGAGUGUUAUGCUUAUGCUCCGACUCUUCGAUCCGAUCCUCCGCUCGGGGCGCCCUGCGUCGGGUCUCAGCAUGAGAAUCCCUUUCCUUCUUCAGGUCGGACUGCAGACCCCGAGCCUCAGCCUCAAGCAGCUCAACAUCCGUCCCCAGCUGAAUUUCUUUCUUUGUGGAUCGGGCGAGGGGAGGGAUGGCUCGGGCGAGUAUAGCGUUGGCCUGCAGUAAACAUAUACAUCAGUACAAGAAGUAAAAGUCAAAGUUAAUAGCAGCAAUCAGAUUNNNNNNNNNNNNNNNNNNNNNNNNNNNNNNNNNNNNNNNNNNNNNNNNNNNNNNNNNNNNNNNNNNNNNNNNNNNNNNNNNNNNNNNNNNNNNNNNNNNNNNNNNNNNNNNNNNNNNNNNNNNNNNNNNNNNNNNNNNNNNNNNNNNNNNNNNNNNNNNNNNNNNNNNNNNNNNNNNNNNNNNNNNNNNNNNNNNNNNNNNNNNNNNNNNNNNNNNNNNNNNNNNNNNNNNNNNNNNNNNNNNNNNNNNNNNNNNNNNNNNNNNNNNNNNNNNNNNNNNNNNNNNNNNNNNNNNNNNNNNNNNNNNNNNNNNNNNNNNNNNNNNNNNNNNNNNNNNNNNNNNNNNNNNNNNNNNNNNNNNNNNNNNNNNNNNNNNNNNNNNNNNNAAGAAAUGAAAUCGUGAAGUGGGAACCGAACCCCGUACUUUAGAACGUACAGGGGGACGGCCACCCACUCGCCCUCGGGACGCCAAAACAUCUUCUCAUCGGGCAUAGGUACUCGAAGCUGGUAUUCUUCAGGGAUCUUAAAAAGGGACCGGAUGUCAGAAAUCUGUGAGGGGGUGAUGGUGGAAGGAGUAUGAAGGUGAGAAAACUCCUUUGAGGAAUAGUAUGCAUUUCGAAUCCUAGCAUCGGCGUCUACCGGACUAGGCAGGGUCAAAGGAGUGGUGUCGGCAGGGGCAUCCGGCAGUACGACCUGUAGAAGGUCGCCGGUGGUGACGGUGGAGGUAGCGGUGAUAGGCUCAGUGGCCGGAAUAGUGCUGAAAUUGGCCAUUUAAAAAGGAUGUGAUGCAAAUAAGAAGUUUCGAAGAACAGAUGAUCAAGUAGAACUCAAAUAUCUGCAAAGUAGUGGGAGUUCGUGGAGUUUGGGGAAGAAAUGAGCUCGCCGAAAAUCGCCUUGCCGGAAAAAAUGAAAACAGAGAGUUUGGGAGUGAGAGUCAGUAAAGGUGAUAAUGAGGGGGGAAGAGGGGUUUUUAUAAGGGGUACGGCACGGAACCCAAGGCGGCUAUUAAAUACUUGAGGUGGGUCCAGGCGUGAAAAUGCGUGCAACGUUUCAAAUAUCAAGAACUGACUGUAUGGCUUCCACAAGCAGCUCAUCAUUAGCUGUCGUGACCUUUCAUAUACCUGACCGUUCAAACCCUAACCUUUCAAGUCUCCAAUCAUAAAUAUGUUAUAAUUAGAGACUGGGGGGCAAUGUUCGGGAGCGUUUUACCGACCCUCUUUUGGGUCGAAGGCUUAGUAUCAGAAGGGCUGGAGAGAUCGGGGGGCGGCCUAUGAAGAUAUUGAAGGUGCUUGGGUCGGCAUCUGAGCCCUCCUGGGCCGGAGCUGAACCCGGUCUUGUGAUGUUUAGGGUCGGGUCUUCGAGUUCUUUGGGCAGAAACCCAGACUAGAUUAUAGGACCGUUUGGGCCUGCAUAGUGGGCUCUUCCGCGUGCAGAGUCCGGGUACCUAUUCAUAUACAUAUAAGGUAACUCCAAAGGUGGUGAUGAGAUUGGACUCUAUUUGCACCUUUUAAGGAGAUUGUGUUAGACCCAAGUUAUGGUAACUACCAUACACUAGGAGUCCUAAUCCGACUGGGAGAAGGAUUCUAAGGUGGUGAGUACUAUAAAUAUAAGGCCUAGGUUAUUAUUAUGAGGUAAUACCUACUUUUGAGCACUAAAUACUUAUCCUCCAUUGUUAAACCUUGUAACGGCCUGUAUUCAUUCUCACACCGGAGCUAUCCCCCGGCGGCACAAGCCGUCAAGCUUCUGUGUGAUCUGUUACUGUGCAGGUUCUAGCGCGUGGAUUCUGUGAUUGGACGCGCUGGCGAAACUUGGCGUUAACAGUUCGCAUUCAUCGCAGCCAUUGGCGUCUACAAUUUCAUCAAAUAUGAUCCAUCCGUAGUUAAAGCUAUAAAUCCCAAAUAUAUCAUACACUAUUUCAGCAGGAACAAAAAACAAGCAUGGAUUUCCCUAGGUGGCAUUGUCCUAGCCAUAACAGGUGCUGCUGCUGUUUACACUAACUAUUUUUUUUUACAU
Molecule: long non-coding RNA, 8987 nt
Filed under: Panax ginseng (ginseng)
Lineage: Eukaryota; Viridiplantae; Streptophyta; Magnoliopsida; Apiales; Araliaceae
Description: long non-coding RNA (PGIN_LNC001699)
Source: RNAcentral